ACGAACGCUGGCGGCAGGCCUAACACAUGCAAGUCGAGCGCUGUAGCAAUACAGAGCGGCAGACGGGUGAGUAACGCGUGGGAAUCUACCUAGUGGUACGGAAUAGCCCAGGGAAACUUGGGGUAAUACCGUAUAAGCCCGAAAGGGGAAAGAUUUAUCGCCAUUAGAUGAGCCCGCGUUGGAUUAGCUAGUUGGUGGGGUAACGGCCCACCAAGGCGACGAUCCAUAGCUGGUCUGAGAGGAUGAUCAGCCACACUGGGACUGAGACACGGCCCAGACUCCUACGGGAGGCAGCAGUGGGGAAUAUUGGACAAUGGGCGCAAGCCUGAUCCAGCCAUGCCGCGUGAGUGACGAAGGUCUUCGGAUUGUAAAGCUCUUUUGGCGGGGACGAUAAUGACGGUACCCGCAGAAUAAGCCCCGGCUAACUUCGU
Molecule: ribosomal RNA, 431 nt
Filed under: uncultured bacterium
Lineage: Bacteria
Description: bacterial SSU rRNA
Rfam family: Bacterial small subunit ribosomal RNA
Source: RNAcentral